UCCAAAAAGCAACCAUCAAUUAUCUCCAACGGGAGCAGCGACACAAACAAAAAGACACGUUGCGAAGACACUGAAACAGCGUCUUGCUCAGUUCAACACCGAAUGACGAAUUCACGCGUUCCGAGAUAGAUGUGUUUUUCGCAAAAUAUUGUUGUAUACAAUCGGUAGGUUCUCCGUGUCCUUUUGUAAGUUCAAGGUAUUAUUAUGCCGCUUUAUGAAGACCAUCUCAGCAAUUUCUCGUUUCUCGAGGUGGUCUUCACGAUGCAAAAUGUGAACAUUCGUCCAGUCAAAUUCGUGGUCAUCUUCAAGCCUAUGUUUACUAACCACAGACAUGUUUACCGACUGUUUCCUAAUAUCGGAAAUAUGCUCCUUAAUCCGCGUCUCAAGAUGUCGCUUUGUCUGGCCCACGUAACACACAUUACAAUCACACACAAUCAAUUUUAUAAACAACGCACAGUCAAUUUUAUAAACAACGCCGGUUCUUUUUUCAUUCUUGGGUCUAUCCUUACCGAGUCUAAUCAAACAAUUCAAUUUCUUGGAAAUAGUGAAAAUUAUGUUGUAACCAUGUCGUUUAAGCAAAUUUCGUAGGCUUGUAGUUACAUUGUUGACAAAUGGAACCUUAAUGUAUUUGUUACUAAUGUCCUUUCUCUCACUGACCAAAGGAUUGUCACGGAAUUGAAUCUCUCUUAUUCUCUUUUUAAUCUGUCAAUGACUUCAACAGGGUAGCAAUUGUUCAUCAAAAUUUCCUUGACAACAUUAAUGUUCGAUGGUGAUUCGAAAGAAAACUUAUAUAGCGGCCAGAAAACGUAGGCUUCCUGUACCAGUUAGUAACUAAUCUUCCACCGUCCCUGAUAACCGUGGUAUCCAAAAAACUCAAGCCAUCAUCGAUCUCCGUUUCACAGGUGAACUUAAGCCUCGGAUGAUAGCUAUUAAACACAUCAAUAACAUGCUGGACCUCGUCAUUAGGUAAAAUGGUGAAAAUAUCGUCAACAUAUCUAUAGAAAAUUAGUAAUCCAAAACCGAGUUGACCAAUGCAAUAAAGUUCUAAAUCUUCCAUCACCGUGUCUGCCAAAAUCGGAGGCAAUGGAGAGCCCAUUGGACUUCCAAAGAUCUGCUGAUACGUUUGUUCGUUAAAAGAAAAACAUGUUGAAUUUAAAAUCAGCUCAAUGGCAUAUUUGAACUGGUCAAAGUUAAAUUUACAAUUAGGAGCAAUCAAAUGCCAUCUCUUAUCUAAUGCUGUAAAUACUAAUUCAUUAGGAACAUUAGUAAAAAGAGAAACAAUGUCCAACGAAACUAGUGAACUCUGUGGCUCGAUCUCCCUAUUCCCAAUUUCCCUGACGAAGGUCCAACUGUCACGAACGUGAGAAGCCGGUUUAGUAACCGAAUCGCUCAAAAUUUUAUGAAAAAAACAUGCUAUGUCAUAAGUAGGAGAACCUAUGGAAGAGACAAUAACUCGUAACGGAUUGCCCUCUUUAUGUAUUUUGGGCAAACCAUAACAUUUGGCUAGAUUAAAGCCAGUAUUAAAAAGUUGUCUGUACCUAUGCUCAUCAAUUAAUUCAGAAAUUCUUUAUAUAUAUUUUUAUAUUUUUUAUUUUUUAUAAUUUUGUCUUUGAUAGUUUGUGUUAUGUAUUGUUUUGUAGAAAGUGACUAUUUCGCACUUGAUAAGGACCCUAAUUUGAGGUCGAAACGUAGUGCUACCAAUAUUUUGUUUCACCAGUUCUUGGUCAUAAAUAAAGAAUUAUCAUAUUACGUAGUUGUGUUACGUAGUUUCAUUCCAGAAAUUUAAAAAUAUAUCAUAACUAUAUUUUUUCCAUUUUUUAUCUUUAUUUCUGUCUCUCUGCAAUUAAUAAUCUUUAAAACUGAAAACAAUGCAUGAAAAAAACAUUAAAAGUUUUAUAAAAUGUUUUUAUGUCGGAUAAUGAGAAAUUUGAACCAACCAAUGAUCACGCAGUGUAAUAAUUAAUUAAGUAUAAGAUAUACAUAUAUUACAAAAGAAUAAAUUACAUAUUCAUUUGGUGAGAAAAUGUCCGCAUAAUUUUCCUUUCAUAAAAAUUAAUAUACAUUUUUAGAGAUUUCAAUGAAUUACAUGAAUUAAAAAUGAAUGUAUUCUUUUCACAUAAGUAAAGUUAUUUUAAGUAAAAGAAAAUGUCCGCAUGAUAUUUUCCUUUCAUGAUAGUUAAACCUAAUAGCAACAAAACUGCAUCAAUCUUAAAAACUCAUAACAUUAAAGCAAAAUAUGAUAAAAUUUACGACUUAUAAACGAAAUAAGAAGAAACUAUACAAAACCAACUUGAUAAUAUUAAUCACAUGAAUGUAGAGUAAUCGAUGUCAAUUUGUGAUUUCAUAACAAAAAUUUCAGGAAUUGGUACGUCAAAUAAUACGUAUUGAUGUUUAACAAUAAUUUAUUUGCAGCGAGCAAGUAGAUAUAUAUUAAACAUUUUUACAUAUUUGUACAUUUGUACAACGCUCAAUACAGAAACUAUACUAUAUUAACAAAUUGUUCAGAGGAUGAUUCAACCAACAUACUCUUAAAAAUAUCAAUUCUGAUUACAAUCCCUGUAUCUGAAACACUGUAACCUACUUUAACAGCCACUAAAA
This is a long non-coding RNA of Ooceraea biroi (clonal raider ant), 2598 nucleotides long. RefSeq lists it as uncharacterized. NCBI's taxonomy places the organism in Eukaryota, Metazoa, Arthropoda, Insecta, Hymenoptera, Formicidae. The record is from RefSeq and is a predicted model, not a curated record.